Molecule: ribosomal RNA, 452 nt
Filed under: uncultured bacterium
Lineage: Bacteria
Description: partial 16S ribosomal RNA
Rfam family: Bacterial small subunit ribosomal RNA
Source: RNAcentral
AGCGAACGCUGGCGGCAGGCCUAACACAUGCAAGUCGAGCGGGCACCGCAAGGUGUCAGCGGCAGACGGGAGAGUAACACGUGGGAACGUGCCCUUCGGUUCGGUAUAACUCGGGGAAACCCGUGCUAAUACCGAAUACGCCCUUACGGGGAAAGAUUUAUCGCCGAUGCGAGCGGCCCGCGUCUGAUUAGCUAGUUGGUGGGGUAAUGGCUCACCAAGGCGACGAGCAGUAGCUGGUCUGAGAGUAUGAUCAACCUGACUGGGACUGAGACGCGGCAGAGUCUCCUACUUGAGGCAGGAGUGGAGAAUAUUGGACAAUGGGCUCAAGCCUGAUCCAGCCAUGCCGCGUGGAUCAUGAAGGCCUUAGGAUUGUAAAGUCCUUUUAACGGGGAAGAUAAUGACAGUACCCGUAGAAUAAGCCCCGGCUAUCUUCGUGCCAGCCGCCGCCGUAA